Molecule: ribosomal RNA, 508 nt
Filed under: uncultured bacterium
Lineage: Bacteria
Description: bacterial SSU rRNA
Rfam family: Bacterial small subunit ribosomal RNA
Source: RNAcentral
AGAGUUUGAUCAUGGCUCAGAUUGAACGCUGGCGGCAUGCUUUACACAUGCAAGUCGAACGGUAACAUAAGAAAGCUUGCUUUCUUGAUGACGAGUGGCGAACGGGUGAGUAAUACAUCGGAACGUACCCUGUAGUGGGGGAUAACUACUCGAAAGAGUGGCUAAUACCGCAUACAACCUGAGGGUAAAAGUGGGGGACCGCAAGGCCUCACGCUAUAGGAGCGGCCGAUGGAAGAUUAGGUAGUUGGUGGGGUAAAGGCCUACCAAGCCGACGAUCUUUAGCGGGUCUGAGAGGACGAUCCGCCACACUGGGACUGAGACACGGCCCAGACUCCUACGGGAGGCAGCAGUGGGGAAUUUUGGACAAUGGGCGAAAGCCUGAUCCAGCAAUGCCGCGUGAGUGAAGAAGGCCUUCGGGUUGUAAAGCUCUUUUGUUGGGAAGAAAUCCUUAAGGCUAAUAUCCUUGGGGAUGACGGUACCAAAAGAAUAAGCACCGGCUAACUACGUG